GGUCAAGUGAAGAAGCGCAUACGGUGGAUGCCUUGGCAGUCAGAGGCGAUGAAAGACGUGGUAGCCUGCGAAAAGCUUCGGGGAGUCGGCAAACAGACUUUGAUCCGGAGAUGUCUGAAUGGGGGAACCCAGCCAUCAUAAGAUGGUUAUCUUGUACUGAAUACAUAGGUGCAAGAGGCGAACCAGGGGAACUGAAACAUCUAAGUACCCUGAGGAAAAGAAAUCAACCGAGAUUCCCUUAGUAGUGGCGAGCGAACGGGGACUAGCCCUUAAGUGGCUUUGAGAUUAGCGGAACGUUCUGGAAAGUACGGCCAUAGUGGGUGAUAGCCCUGUACGCGAAAAUCUCUUAGUCAUGAAAUCGAGUAGGACGGAGCACGAGAAACUUUGUCUGAAUAUGGGGGGACCAUCCUCCAAGGCUAAAUACUACUGACUGACCGAUAGUGAACUAGUACCGUGAGGGAAAGGCGAAAAGAACCCCGGAGAGGGGAGUGAAAUAGAUCCUGAAACCGUAUGCGUACAAGCAGUGGGAGCCUACUUGUUAGGUGACUGCGUACCUUUUGUAUAAUGGGUCAGCGACUUAUUUUCAGUGGCGAGCUUAACCGAAUAGGGGAGGCGUAGCGAAAGCGAGUCUUAAUAGGGCGUCUAGUCGCUGGGAAUAGACCCGAAACCGGGCGAUCUAUCCAUGGGCAGGUUGAAGGUUGGGUAACACUAACUGGAGGACCGAACCGACUACCGUUGAAAAGUUAGCGGAUGACCUGUGGAUCGGAGUGAAAGGCUAAUCAAGCUCGGAGAUAGCUGGUUCUCCUCGAAAGCUAUUUAGGUAGCGCCUCAUGUAUCACUGUAGGGGGUAGACACUGUUUCGGCUAGGGGGUCAUCCCGACUUACCAAACCGAUGCAAACUCCGAAUACCUACAAGUGCCGAGCAUGGGAGACACACGGCGGUGCUAACGUCCGUCGUGAAAAGGGAAACAACCCAGACCGUCAGCUAAGGUCCCAAAGUUAUGGUUAAGUGGGAAACGAUGUGGGAAGGCUUAGACAGCUAGGAGGUUGGCUUAGAAGCAGCCACCCUUUAAAGAAAGCGUAAUAGCUCACUAGUCGAGUCGGCCUGCGCGGAAGAUGUAACGGGGCUCAAACCAUACACCGAAGCUACGGGUAUCACGUAAGUGAUGCGGUAGAGGAGCGUUCUGUAAGCCUGUGAAGGUGAGUUGAGAAGCUUGCUGGAGGUAUCAGAAGUGCGAAUGCUGACAUGAGUAACGACAAUGGGUGUGAAAAACACCCACGCCGAAAGACCAAGGUUUCCUGCGCAACGUUAAUCGACGCAGGGUUAGUCGGUCCCUAAGGCGAGGCUGAAAAGCGUAGUCGAUGGAAAACAGGUUAAUAUUCCUGUACUUCUGGUUAUUGCGAUGGAGGGACGGAGAAGGCUAGGCCAGCUUGGCGUUGGUUGUCCAAGUUUAAGGUGGUAGGCUGAGAUCUUAGGUAAAUCCGGGAUCUUAAGGCCGAGAGCUGAUGACGAGCUAACUUUUAGUUAGCGAAGUGGUUGAUGCCAUGCUUCCAAGAAAAGCUUCUAAGCUUCAGGUAACCAGGAACCGUACCCCAAACCGACACAGGUGGUUGGGUAGAGAAUACCAAGGCGCUUGAGAGAACUCGGGUGAAGGAACUAGGCAAAAUGGCACCGUAACUUCGGGAGAAGGUGCGCCGGUGAGGGUGAAGGACUUGCUCCGUAAGCUCAUGCCGGUCGAAGAUACCAGGCCGCUGCGACUGUUUAUUAAAAACACAGCACUCUGCAAACACGAAAGUGGACGUAUAGGGUGUGACGCCUGCCCGGUGCCGGAAGGUUAAUUGAUGGGGUUAGCUAACGCGAAGCUCUUGAUCGAAGCCCCGGUAAACGGCGGCCGUAACUAUAACGGUCCUAAGGUAGCGAAAUUCCUUGUCGGGUAAGUUCCGACCUGCACGAAUGGCGUAACGAUGGCGGCGCUGUCUCCACCCGAGACUCAGUGAAAUUGAAAUCGCUGUGAAGAUGCAGUGUAUCCGCGGCUAGACGGAAAGACCCCGUGAACCUUUACUAUAGCUUUGCACUGGACUUUGAAUUUGCUUGUGUAGGAUAGGUGGGAGGCUUUGAAGCGUGGACGCCAGUUCGCGUGGAGCCAUCCUUGAAAUACCACCCUGGCAACUUUGAGGUUCUAACUCAGGUCCGUUAUCCGGAUCGAGGACAGUGUAUGGUGGGUAGUUUGACUGGGGCGGUCUCCUCCUAAAGAGUAACGGAGGAGUACGAAGGUGCGCUCAGACCGGUCGGAAAUCGGUCGUAGAGUAUAAAGGCAAAAGCGCGCUUGACUGCGAGACAGACACGUCGAGCAGGUACGAAAGUAGGUCUUAGUGAUCCGGUGGUUCUGUAUGGAAGGGCCAUCGCUCAACGGAUAAAAGGUACUCCGGGGAUAACAGGCUGAUACCGCCCAAGAGUUCAUAUCGACGGCGGUGUUUGGCACCUCGAUGUCGGCUCAUCACAUCCUGGGGCUGAAGCCGGUCCCAAGGGUAUGGCUGUUCGCCAUUUAAAGUGGUACGCGAGCUGGGUUUAGAACGUCGUGAGACAGUUCGGUCCCUAUCUGCCGUGGACGUUUGAGAUUUGAGAGGGGCUGCUCCUAGUACGAGAGGACCGGAGUGGACGAACCUCUGGUGUUCCGGUUGUCACGCCAGUGGCAUUGCCGGGUAGCUAUGUUCGGAAUAGAUAACCGCUGAAAGCAUCUAAGCGGGAAACUAGCCUCAAGAUGAGAUCUCACUGGAACCUUGAGUUCCCUGAAGGGCCGUCGAAGACUACGACGUUGAUAGGUUGGGUGUGUAAGCGCUGUGAGGCGUUGAGCUAACCAAUACUAAUUGCCCGUGAGGCUUGACCAU
This 2889-nucleotide ribosomal RNA is filed under the name Pseudomonas simiae. RNAcentral's name for it is "23S ribosomal RNA". It matches the Rfam family "Bacterial large subunit ribosomal RNA". Lineage: Bacteria; Pseudomonadati; Pseudomonadota; Gammaproteobacteria; Pseudomonadales; Pseudomonadaceae. The record is from RNAcentral.